RNAcentral lists this long non-coding RNA (459 nucleotides) under Sparus aurata (gilthead seabream). Its description in RNAcentral is "lncRNA (ENSSAUG00010014725.1)". Lineage: Eukaryota; Metazoa; Chordata; Actinopteri; Spariformes; Sparidae. The record is from RNAcentral.
AUGCUUUGCUGCAGGUGUGUGCUGCCUCUCCUGGCUCUGUACGUGUCGUUGGAGGAGAUAUCCGCUGCUGUGUUGCCAAGUUCUUCCAGAAACAAAAGGGAAGUGAGCUGGCUGGAGCAGGAGCUCUUCCCCCACCUGCAUGACCCCUCGGACCAGAGGGACCUGUCCGUGGGCGACGCUGGGGACAUGGGAAGGGAUGUGGAGGGCCGCCCCGCUCACUCAGAGAGCUUUUUGGCCCCGACGGAGCACCUUAGUGUCCAACACCAGAACCAGAACCAGAACCAGUUCCAGUACCAACGUAAAGCCAAUGAAAAGAGGAUGAACCAGAUGUCCAGUGGGAAGAAAUCAGAGAGUGAAGAGCAGCGCCAACAACUGAGCCCUUUCUAUUGCAUUCUGUUUAAUAUGUCUUCCAUGAUAUUUAUUCAUUAUUAUUUAACUCGCUGCCAUACUAACAAGUGA